Helianthus annuus (common sunflower) is the source of this 7766-nucleotide long non-coding RNA. RefSeq lists it as uncharacterized. NCBI's taxonomy places the organism in Eukaryota, Viridiplantae, Streptophyta, Magnoliopsida, Asterales, Asteraceae. The transcript has 4 exons. The record is from RefSeq and is a predicted model, not a curated record.
ACACCCCAAAAACGGGUUUAUUAAUUAUAAUAAAGUAACCGAAAAUAAACGGGUAAAAUAUGGUAGUGAUAAAAAUAAACCCAGUAAAUAUUAGGAUCUAAAUAAGUAAGCCUAAUAUUAACUAAAGAGUGAAUCAAAGCUUUGGAGGAAAUAAAGCUUAUAAAAGACCCGGGGUAACGGGGUGUAUGUAACACCCUAAAACAUAAAUCCUUUUAUUAUAAAUCCGAGUUUAAUAAUUGUAACAUCCCUAUUUUCAUCAUAAAUAAAAACUGACAAAACUUCCUAACUAUGUAUUUUAUCUAUGAUAAAUAAAACAAUACUGUUGUAGCAUAUAAGGUUUCAAUUAAAAACCUUAUUUAGAAACUUAGUAGAGAGUAUUUUGUAAAUGAUCAAGAAGGAGGGGUGAAUGUGGAAAUAUGAGUUAUAGUUAACUAAAUAAGUCAAGGAGGAAAAGAAAUCUCCAGAACGUUGAUACGUGCAGUGAGGUAUAUGACGAUGGAGAAAAAGAGACCAAGAGAAAGUGAUUUCCAACUUGAAAUCUGGAAAUUCAAAGUGUAAAUCUUGUUAAUGCAAGUUUAUAAUCUGAUUUCUAGCAUCAUCAUCUCUUUUUUUUGAAUUUAGAAGAUUAGCUAAAAUCCAACAAGGAACGCAAGGUGGAAGCUUUGGGCAAACAAGGUAAGUGAUUUCUGUAAUCACUUCUUAUUUUAUUUAAGUAAAGUAGCGUUAGUUGAUUAAGCAUGAUGAGGUUUGAAGUUUCAUAUGGUUUUGUUCGUAUGAAAUUGGUAAUUUUAGCUUAGUAGACCGAAUGGGACAAUAUAAAGUUGUAAUGAUAUGACGAAUAAUGUCUAUGUAAUGGCUACGGUAUGUAACCGGGUAAUGGGUAAAAUUGCACAUAAGUGCACCAACCGAGAAUGGGGACUUAGGUUAAUGGGUCAAAGUGAAGGUAUACUUUAGCACGGAACGUUUGUACAAGCAAUGUCGAUAGUAUUUCAUGUGCCCGGUUAGUGUAAGGUGUUAUAACAUUAACAUUAUGUGAGCCUUAAGUGUAAACAUAUGAGUUGUUGAUAAAUGCAUGACGGGUCGAAUAAUUCGUAAUGAAUAAUAAGCCGAAAAUGUAUAAGUUAAGAAUUUCCUUAACCCGGAUGUUGGAUUUUAAGUUCACAUAAUAGAAUGUUAGUUUACAAUCAUGCAGGAAGAAACGGGAGGUUAAUCGGGUAAACGGUUUAAAAGCUAUGCAAGUUUUUGUGCGUGCGAACGACAAAACAACACAGCAGAAAAAUGGCAAAACUAGAGGCCGUCGCCGACGCCCCUAUGGGCUGUCGCCGACGCCUUGUGCAUUUUCAGUUUUCUCCGACGCCUAAUUAUCCUGUCUACGGAGGUUUCUGGCUACGCGAAAAACUAAUAGCCGUCGCCGACGCCCUAUAGGGCCGUCGCCGACGGCCUCCACAUGUUUUAAAUGCUGAAAUUCGUUAAUUAAGUUAUUUUGUGUACCGUAAGCUUCGGUAUAUUAACCGUGGUCUACGACGAGCCUCCCAAACAUAAUUUUGAAUGUUUCCUUGAUGUUUUUGGAUCAUAAAUCCAAGUCUAAGCACUCCAUAAUUAAUGUACGAGUAUGAUAAGUGAAUGCGAAUAAGUUAAAUCAAGAAUUGAAUGUAAAUAAGUAUGUGUAGACAUGAUUAUGUAAGCAUUUAGUUAUGUAUAUAGAUAAGUAGAUGUGUAGAUAUGUAGGUGCGUAUGAUUAGACGUAUGAAUAUACGAAUGCACGAAGUAGGAUUUAUCGCCUAUGAAAAGAAUGGGACAGGUAUGCAUGUAUACAUGGUUUCAAUACGUUUGAGUAUGGACGUUACUAAUGAUGUGCUUGAGAUUGGAAUGUAAUGCAGGAAUGAGAACGUCAGACUCUUGUAGAAUUGAAGUCGAACCUGGAAGCCGAACUCGAAACAAAGGAAUCCGAGAGGAUAGUCGAAUGAAUUAAAGUUUAUGUUGCUGAAUGUUAUAUGAUUUUUAAUUGUACCAGAUUAUUGUUGUAUGAUGUUGUCAAUGACUAAUGGUUAAGUUGUAUGUGAUGUCCACAGGUACUACACGGAUUUCUUCUACCACUAUCGAAGAUAAGCGGGCAUAGAUCGAGUCGAAUAACAAGGAUUGUACGGAAAGAACGGUUACGUAGUCUUAAUUUUGUAACGCAUUAAUUUGUAAAAAGGGAAGUGAAUUUUGUAAGCUUCUUCUUGAAUGUGUGUUAUUUUAAGAUCGUAAAGGAAUUUUUAAAGCUAUUUUUCCGCUGCGUUAUCUUUAAGUUCUUACACGAUGAUCUUACAGGGAAUCGUUCUUAUUACGAACGGGUCAUGCCCGAAUUUUUCUUAAAUAAUAGUAUGGUAAUAUUACUUUUCGGAUUAAGAAUUAUGGGCGUUACAAGUUGGUAUCAGAGCCAUGGUUUGAGGGAAAUCAAGUAUGAGGAGGCAAAUACUUGAACUCAAACCUGUGUGCUCUUGUGACAAGGAACCCGUACAAUCCAAGACUCGAUCAAGAUCUAAAGGUAGAAGCAAAUGUAAGUAUGAAUUUAAGUAUGUUUAUGAAGAAACUAACAUUAUGUUGUGUGUAAGAUAAGCAUAGUUGUUUGGAUGAGGAUGAUUCACGACUGCGGUCUCCGAUCGACACCAAGGCACGCAGUAAGAUAAAUUGGUUCCAGGUACGUAGAUUCAAUAUAUGUAAGUACAUGUAAUGGUAAAACCUAUCAACAGAAGAAGAAUUUUAAAUGAAAGAUAAUAAUGGGAUAGUAAUGAAGUUUUGAAAAUGCUACACGUGCCGAAACUUAAUUCUUCGGACAUAAGGUGGCGAUUACACGAAGACACGAAACUAGUAUGUGGAUCGUGUACCUGGCCAGUACACAAGAAACAUAUGACGUUCGUGAGACCGUGAUAAUUGUUACAGGUAUGUCCGCUAGAACUAGGUAGUAGGUGGACGUGGGGGUGAAGAGGAGUGUAAGACUUUCAGGAAUGAAAGCAUGAAUGAUGUGCUAGAAUCCGCGAGAUGGAUUCGAAGCAUGAAAGGAAUGAAAGCAUGAAUGAUGUGCUAGAAUCCGCGAGACGGAUUCGAAGCAUGAAAGGAAUGAAAGCAUGAAUGAUGUGCUAGAAUCCGCGAGACGGAUUCGAAGCAUGAAAGGAAUGAAAGCAUGAAUGAUGUGCUAGAAUCCACGAGACGUAUUCGAAGCAUGAAAGGAAUGAAAGCAUGAAUGAUGUGCUAGAAUCCGCGAGACGGAUUCGAAGCAUGAAAGGAAUGAAAGCAUGAAUGAUAUGUUAGAAACCGCGAGACGGAUUCAAAGCAUAGAAGGGAAUGAAUUAUAAGAAUGAAAGGUUUAAAUUCGUAAGUAAUUACGUACCAAACAAGUAAAUAUUCUUUAGAAAGUGGAUAUUACUUAAGUUAUGUUUUGAACUUCUAUCUAUAUAAAUAUUUAUGUGAAUACGUUGUAUGCAAGAUGGUUGAGAUGUAUAAAUGAGUCAUACGGGUCAAAUGGGGAUUGCCAUUGAACCCGAUAUUUAAUGUUUUAAAUUGUCAAGUCUUAUAAUUGUAGGCGAACAUAAUGCAUGAUCAUCCAAUGCCACAGAUUGGAAAGAAAUAACCAUCGUAAGUUAUGGAUAACCAGUCAAAGGUUUCGAUUUGCGCAAGGUAUGUACAAAUUUAUGCUUUCUUUUGAGUAGGGGCUUAUAGCUCGACUAGAGAGGGAUGUGCCAGAAAUGGGUAGUUGGUAGACAUAUGGUCAGAAUGUAGUUUACAAUUGGAUUUCCAAACAAGUUAAACAAAGUAGGUGAUAGUUGCUAAGCAGGUAUUAGUAAAAUUAGCAUGAAGUAUUUGAUUUACUAUGUAGGUAAAGCCAAUGUAAGCUAUUGUAGUAGCAAGAAACCUUAGCUGAAAGAAAUGAGCUGUGAGCAAGUUACAUGAAAGGUAUAUUACUAAAUGACUCUUGUGGGUCAAAAUGAAUGACGGGCUACGACCCGAACAAAAACUUAAGUAUGGACGGGAAGGGUAAGUUUUGCAAGAAGAACGGAAAGGAUGUAUUAAAGUACUUGUAUUUAAGCAUGAAUGGAAAGAAAUACAAUCGUGUAUUUCAUUACAUCCAUGAUAUUAAGAAACGUUAGUUAGACCUUGGAAAGCCAACUGUAAUGGGUCGGUGAAAUAAUUAACAAAACGAAGGAAUUGUGGGUGUUUAUAACACUAAACAGAAUAAAUUGGAAAGAAUGUAAUAAUGAUAAGUACCAACGGAAAAUGCUAACCUUGAUGCUAGGUUUGUUGGCCAUGUUCAUUUAAACAAGAUAUUGUUAGAAGGAAGCCCAUGAGCGGAAGCCAUUCAUGAAAGGAAGGGAAUCGAACCGGCCUUGACACGGAUUCAUUCAGAAGCGGGCCAAUCCGGUUUGCAGAUCGUUAAGUUAUACAAUGAAGGUGAGAUUAGUAAAAUGUUUAAUUCUAGAUUGAAAGGUAGGAAUCUGUGAAUUAUUUGUACAUAUGAAUGAAAUGAAGGGUAGGACAAAUAUAGUAUAGUAUGAAAUAACCGACUAGAAAUGGUCAUCUUUAGAAAGUAUUUAUGUCAAUAAGAGAAAGAUUUAAGGACCCUGAAUGAAAACUUGGAACUAGUUGAUUAAUGCUCAUAUGUUGCUCUUUGCACGACAUGCCGGUUUAGUAUAAGGAAGUAAUGUGAAAGAUUAAAUAUAAGGUUAGACAUAAGGUUGUAAGUAGUUCAAGUGGCGGUAGAAAAGUAGAUUAAUGAUUGAUCCUCAUAACAAGUACGGAUAAUGAGAUUUAAAAAUGAUAGUUAGGUUAGAAUGUUGACGCUUGGAUGUCUACGGUAAUGCGUACUAUCAUACGCUCACUUCACAUAAGGACAUGAAGGAACCUAGAAAGGAUGUUAGUUCAAAUUAUGGAAUAUGGGAUGUGUCAUAAACGUCAAUUCCUCACAACAUACUUAUGUAAGUCGUCCAAUGUAACCUGAAUGAAUAAACGAACGAAGAGUAAGACUAGACGGGUUAUAGAAGGAAUGAAAGAGGUUUCGGGGACGAAACCUUCUUUAAGGGGGGUAGACUUGUAACACCCCAAAAACGGGUUUAUUAAUUAUAAUAAAGUAACCGAAAAUAAACGGGUAAAAUAUGGUAGUGAUAAAAAUAAACCCAGUAAAUAUUAGGAUCUAAAUAAGUAAGCCUAAUAUUAACUAAAGAGUGAAUCAAAGCUUUGGAGGAAAUAAAGCUUAUAAAAGACCCGGGGUAACGGGGUGUAUGUAACACCCUAAAACAUAAAUCCUUUUAUUAUAAAUCCGAGUUUAAUAAUUGUAACAUCCCUAUUUUCAUCAUAAAUAAAAACUGACAAAACUUCCUAACUAUGUAUUUUAUCUAUGAUAAAUAAAACAAUACUGUUGUAGCAUAUAAGGUUUCAAUUAAAAACCUUAUUUAGAAACUUAGUAGAGAGUAUUUUGUAAAUGAUCAAGAAGGAGGGGUGAAUGUGGAAAUAUGAGUUAUAGUUAACUAAAUAAGUCAAGGAGGAAAAGAAAUCUCCAGAACGUUGAUACGUGCAGUGAGGUAUAUGACGAUGGAGAAAAAGAGACCAAGAGAAAGUGAUUUCCAACUUGAAAUCUGGAAAUUCAAAGUGUAAAUCUUGUUAAUGCAAGUUUAUAAUCUGAUUUCUAGCAUCAUCAUCUCUUUUUUUUGAAUUUAGAAGAUUAGCUAAAAUCCAACAAGGAACGCAAGGUGGAAGCUUUGGGCAAACAAGGUAAGUGAUUUCUGUAAUCACUUCUUAUUUUAUUUAAGUAAAGUAGCGUUAGUUGAUUAAGCAUGAUGAGGUUUGAAGUUUCAUAUGGUUUUGUUCGUAUGAAAUUGGUAAUUUUAGCUUAGUAGACCGAAUGGGACAAUAUAAAGUUGUAAUGAUAUGACGAAUAAUGUCUAUGUAAUGGCUACGGUAUGUAACCGGGUAAUGGGUAAAAUUGCACAUAAGUGCACCAACCGAGAAUGGGGACUUAGGUUAAUGGGUCAAAGUGAAGGUAUACUUUAGCACGGAACGUUUGUACAAGCAAUGUCGAUAGUAUUUCAUGUGCCCGGUUAGUGUAAGGUGUUAUAACAUUAACAUUAUGUGAGCCUUAAGUGUAAACAUAUGAGUUGUUGAUAAAUGCAUGACGGGUCGAAUAAUUCGUAAUGAAUAAUAAGCCGAAAAUGUAUAAGUUAAGAAUUUCCUUAACCCGGAUGUUGGAUUUUAAGUUCACAUAAUAGAAUGUUAGUUUACAAUCAUGCAGGAAGAAACGGGAGGUUAAUCGGGUAAACGGUUUAAAAGCUAUGCAAGUUUUUGUGCGUGCGAACGACAAAACAACACAGCAGAAAAAUGGCAAAACUAGAGGCCGUCGCCGACGCCCCUAUGGGCUGUCGCCGACGCCUUGUGCAUUUUCAGUUUUCUCCGACGCCUAAUUAUCCUGUCUACGGAGGUUUCUGGCUACGCGAAAAACUAAUAGCCGUCGCCGACGCCCUAUAGGGCCGUCGCCGACGGCCUCCACAUGUUUUAAAUGCUGAAAUUCGUUAAUUAAGUUAUUUUGUGUACCGUAAGCUUCGGUAUAUUAACCGUGGUCUACGACGAGCCUCCCAAACAUAAUUUUGAAUGUUUCCUUGAUGUUUUUGGAUCAUAAAUCCAAGUCUAAGCACUCCAUAAUUAAUGUACGAGUAUGAUAAGUGAAUGCGAAUAAGUUAAAUCAAGAAUUGAAUGUAAAUAAGUAUGUGUAGACAUGAUUAUGUAAGCAUUUAGUUAUGUAUAUAGAUAAGUAGAUGUGUAGAUAUGUAGGUGCGUAUGAUUAGACGUAUGAAUAUACGAAUGCACGAAGUAGGAUUUAUCGCCUAUGAAAAGAAUGGGACAGGUAUGCAUGUAUACAUGGUUUCAAUACGUUUGAGUAUGGACGUUACUAAUGAUGUGCUUGAGAUUGGAAUGUAAUGCAGGAAUGAGAACGUCAGACUCUUGUAGAAUUGAAGUCGAACCUGGAAGCCGAACUCGAAACAAAGGAAUCCGAGAGGAUAGUCGAAUGAAUUAAAGUUUAUGUUGCUGAAUGUUAUAUGAUUUUUAAUUGUACCAGAUUAUUGUUGUAUGAUGUUGUCAAUGACUAAUGGUUAAGUUGUAUGUGAUGUCCACAGGUACUACACGGAUUUCUUCUACCACUAUCGAAGAUAAGCGGGCAUAGAUCGAGUCGAAUAACAAGGAUUGUACGGAAAGAACGGUUACGUAGUCUUAAUUUUGUAACGCAUUAAUUUGUAAAAAGGGAAGUGAAUUUUGUAAGCUUCUUCUUGAAUGUGUGUUAUUUUAAGAUCGUAAAGGAAUUUUUAAAGCUAUUUUUCCGCUGCGUUAUCUUUAAGUUCUUACACGAUGAUCUUACAGGGAAUCGUUCUUAUUACGAACGGGUCAUGCCCGAAUUUUUCUUAAAUAAUAGUAUGGUAAUAUUACUUUUCGGAUUAAGAAAUAUGGGCGUUACAGCGCUGCGCCCCGUGAGCUGCGCAUAAACCAGCUCUCAACAAUGCUGGUAGGGACUUCCAUCGUGGCAAAUGCCAUUUUGGAAGAUUAUAAGGUGCUGGGCCGCCGCGAGGAAGAAACUGCUCGCAUGCGGGCCGAGGCGGAGAAGUUGGUUGAGGCUGCUCGUGCGGGUGCGGAGCAGCUCGAGAAGGAUAGAGCUGCUUUUGAGAAGCAGAAACAGACUUCUGAAUGGGCUGCCGCUGCCCAGCUGAAACAGGAGCUGACAAAUGCCAAGGCAGCGAACGCUA